Danio aesculapii is the source of this 1288-nucleotide long non-coding RNA. RefSeq lists it as uncharacterized. The record is from RefSeq and is a predicted model, not a curated record. The transcript is spliced from 6 exons. Lineage: Eukaryota; Metazoa; Chordata; Actinopteri; Cypriniformes; Danionidae.
GAACUCUGUCCAGACUGUGAAUGUGGUAUUAUCUUCGCGAUCUGUAGGCACUACGGGAACGAAAGGCGCAUAAUCAUAACUCAAAUAAUCUCCGCCUAAAUACUGAACGGUAUUUUCUGAUGACUUAGCCUCAAAACGUAGCUGUCUGUCACACACAGCUUGUUGCGUGCUGAUCCAUACACGAGAGCCUAACGGAGAACAUUUAAGCUGUGCUCCUCACCUGAGCAGAAUUGAAGGUCGGUUGUUGCUGACUACAGAAAGAUUCUUAUAUGGAGGCAUGUAAAAGCAAGGAAAGUGAAACUUCAGCUAGACCUUGAGUUCAGUUUACAAUAUGAAGAUCCUGAUAUCAACAUCUGAUCUGAUCAACACCUGAUUUUCAUCUGAGCUGCAGAGUACCAACAUGUUACAAAUGAGAAUUUUCCCCACAAAUUCUUUGGACAACCGCACCACCACCUAUUUCAUUUUAUGACAAUUUUAAGGCAAACAGCAUCCAAAACUGACAAGACAGCAGAUACCCUGGCUAAUCUUUUGAAGGUUUAUGAUGAGCAGGAACUGCAUGAUGUCAGUUCAUGAUGGACUACUGUUAUCAGAGGUCUUUUGGUCUUGCUGCGUGAGCGUGACUGGGGAUUCUUUAGGACCACCCUGAUUAAUAAUCCUGAAGCGCUGACUGAAGAUGCUUUAUUGGCCCUGCAGUCACUGAGGGUCUCUGCUGUCCUGAAGAAUGAAUUGGACACCACCCACAGCACACUUCCAGACCUUUUUUGUCUUGUUUGGAUUAAUGUAUGCUCUUCACAUAGUAUAUAGUAAAGGACUUUGAACUUGUACAAAAAGUUUUGCUUGGCAUGGAUGAUAGAAAAAAGAAAGUCGAUUAGCAUAGAAUCCUUAAAGAAUGAGUUGAUGUAGAGCCUUUUUUGUACUCAAUAAAGACUGUCACUGGGGUAGUAACUUCAAAACAUGUAUGUACCUUUAAUUGGUAAUGGUGCAUUUUAUUAUAUAUAUAGUGUUCAACAGAAGAAAGAAACUCAAACAGGUUUGGAAUAAGUUGACAGAAUGACAGAAUCAUAGUUCAACCAAGACUGAAUAUAUAUAUAUAAACCAUUUGAUAGUUACUGUGCCAAUGACUUUUUUUUUUCCAAAACAAGAGUCACUUCACAGAAUGUGCACUUAUUCUUUAUUAACGAAUGCUUUAAGACUAAGUUUUAUAGUUCUUAUUAAUCUUAUUAUUAUUUAAUUUUGUCAAACUUAAAGUGUUUUUUUUUCUUGAAGCUCUUGUUUGAUAUAUUUGCAU